RNAcentral lists this long non-coding RNA (437 nucleotides) under Mytilus galloprovincialis (Mediterranean mussel). The record is from RNAcentral. Lineage: Eukaryota; Metazoa; Mollusca; Bivalvia; Mytilida; Mytilidae.
CCCCGUUUCGGGCCGAAUCCUUAUAUCGUUGAUAUGUCAAGUCAAUGCACUAUUAUUGUCUUUAUACUGCAAUCUAAAAGAGUACUUUUACAAUUGUUGUUUAGUGUGUAUGUUAUUAUUUGAUUUAAAUAUUGGGAAACUUCCCCCUUUUAUAAAAAGGCCUCAUAUCAUGCAGGCGGAGAAAUGGACAGCACAAUGAAAUGUACAUCUACCUGUUGAAACCUGCAAUCGAUGAUGAACAAGUUUGUUUGAGAAUGAACUAAAAUAUCAACAAUAAGCAUAAAACAUAAUGAUAUAUAGUUCGCAAGCCAAAAAUAUUAACAAGUGAAAUAUGUUUUUUUUCUAGAAAUUGCAAAAGAAAUAAGUUUGAGUCGUUGUAUACUUUGGAAACAAUAACAGGUUGAAUAGGUCGUAUGAAUAAUUAAAUACAAUUUCGG